This 253-nucleotide ribosomal RNA is filed under the name uncultured bacterium. RNAcentral's name for it is "partial 16S ribosomal RNA". It matches the Rfam family "Bacterial small subunit ribosomal RNA", at positions 524 to 776 of the family's 1533-position model. The record is from RNAcentral.
UACGGGGGGGGCAAGCGUUGUUCGGAAUUACUGGGCGUAAAGGGCUCGUAGGUGGCCCACUAAGUCAGACGUGAAAUCCCUCGGCUUAACCGGGGAACUGCGUCUGAUACUGGAUGGCUAGAGAUUGGGAGAGGGAUGCGGAAUUCCAGGUGUAGCGGUGAAAUGCGUAGAUAUCUGGAGGAACACCGGUGGCGAAGGCGGCAUCCUGGACCAACACUGACGCUGAGGAGCGAAAGCCAGGGGAGCAAACGGG